Molecule: non-coding RNA, 226 nt
Organism: Pelobates cultripes (western spadefoot toad)
Lineage: Eukaryota; Metazoa; Chordata; Amphibia; Anura; Pelobatidae
Source: the annotation of a GenBank genome assembly
GGAAGUGAGCAUAAAUUAUUCUUGGAUGACAGGUCUGCCCCCCAGGAUCUCAGCCAAAGCGCCCUUCUAGCGGUGACUGAAUGUGCCAUAACCUUAGAUAGAAUUCUAAUGAGGUCAGUGGAGGAUUCCAAAAGCCAGUCACUGGCGAGUUUGAUAUCCCUUAAGGAUUCCGCCAUCUGACGUCUACUGACACCUUUAUCUAUGUCAUCCUCCAAGUCAAGCAACC